GAUUAGGGUUGGAGUGAACCUACAGGACGAUAGCUCUCCUGGAACAGGGUUGGAGUGAACCUACAGGGGGGUAGCUCUCCUGGAACAGGGUUGGAGUGAAUUUACAGGAUGAUACCUCAUUCAGACCUAUAGCCAUAUCUCAUUCAGACCUAUAGCCAUACCUCAUUCAGACCUAUAACCAUACCUGAUUCAGACCUAUAACCAUACCUGAUUCAGACUUAUAGCCAGAUCUCAUUCAGACCUAUAGCCAUACCUCAUUCAGACCUUUAACCAUACCUCAUUCUGACCUAUAGCCAGAUCUCAUAAAAUUGUUUAUCCAUCAAAACAGACCAGACAGGCUCACCUCUGACCUGUGUGUGUGUGCGCGUGUGUGUGUGUGUGUGCGUGCGUGCGCGUGUGUGUGCGAGAGAGGGAACAUUGAUCUCAGAGAUGAUAUUGUAUCUCUAGAUGCAGCUGAUGGAACAGGAGAGCGAGAGAGAGAGGGAGGAAAGGAGGAUGGAACAGCCACACUGUGAGUCAGCACUCUGGGCUUCUCUUUGUGGUUCUGACAUGUUUUGUUCUGUGCACUGCAGAUGAAAGACGACAAGGAGAGUAAGAUACAGUAGUUUAGACCAGGGGUGUCAAACUCAUUCCAUGGAGGGCCUAGUGUGCGGUGGGUUUUCAGGAGGAAGGAUUCUCACACCUGUGUGAGAAUGCUGUUCAUUGACUACAGCUCAGCGUUCAACACCAUAGUGCCCACAAAGCUCAAUGACCCUGGGACGAAACACCUCCCUUUGGAACGAAACACCUCCCUCUGGAACUGGAGGGCCUAGCGUCUGCAGGUUUUAGUUUUUUCCUGUCAGUUAUGACCUAGACAACCAGGUGAGGGGAGUUCUUUACUAAUUAGUGACCUUAAUUCAUCAAUCAAGUACACGGGAGGAGCGAAAACAGCAGACCCUCCGUGGAAAGCGUUUGACACGUAAUUUAGACUAUUGCAAUGCCUCCUCAAUAACGGCAUCUACCUGUAGCCGACGGGGACGGUUGUUCUCUGUACAUAGAGGUUGUAUCUCAAUAAUCUAACGUACAGAAGGACCUCUUCUACAGUCUACAGUCCUUUCAAUUAUUUUCUUACAAGUUGCAUAGAUCGUUAAUAAAUGGACAAUAAUUGUA
This is a long non-coding RNA of Salvelinus namaycush (lake trout), 1149 nucleotides long. RefSeq lists it as uncharacterized. NCBI's taxonomy places the organism in Eukaryota, Metazoa, Chordata, Actinopteri, Salmoniformes, Salmonidae. The transcript is spliced from 2 exons. The record is from RefSeq and is a predicted model, not a curated record.